This 74-nucleotide transfer RNA is filed under the name Candidatus Fibrimonadaceae bacterium. RNAcentral describes it as "tRNA-Arg". It matches the Rfam family "tRNA". From Rfam's summary of the family: Transfer RNA (tRNA) molecules are approximately 80 nucleotides in length. Lineage: Bacteria; Pseudomonadati; Fibrobacterota; Fibrobacteria; Candidatus Fibrimonadales; Candidatus Fibrimonadaceae. The record is from RNAcentral.
GCGUUUGUAGCUCAGUUGGAUAGAGUGGUGGCCUCCGAAGCCGCAGGUCGCGCGUUCGAGUCGCGCCAAACGUA